ACGGACACCGGAGCAAUCCGAGUGUUAGUGGCAAACGGGAGCGUAACACAUUGGUAACCUGCCCCGGAGACGAGAAUAACCUGCCGAAAGGCGGGCUAAUCCUCGAUAGUGAUGCGGGGGCGCAAGCCAUUCGCAUUGAAAGCCGCAAGGCGCUUCGGGAGGGACCUAUGCCCUAUCAGCUAGUUGGUGAGGUAACGGCUCACCAAGGCAACGACGGGUAGCGGGCGUGAGAGCGCGACCCGCCUCAGUGGAACUGAGACACUGUCCACACUCCUACGGGAGGCUGCAGUCAAGAAUCUUCCCCAAUGGACGAAAGUCUGAGGGAGCGACGCCGCGUGCGGGAUGAAGCCCUUCGGGGUGUAAACUGCUUUUAUCAGGGACGAAGCUUCGGCUGACGGUACCUGGUGAAUAAGAGGUUGCUAACUCUGUGCCAGCAGCAGCGGUAAUACAGAGACCUCAAGCGUUAUCCGGAUUUACUGGGCGUAAAGCGUCCGCAGGUGGCCGCGCAAGUCACCGGUUAAAUCUCUGGGCUCAACCCAGAGGCCGCCGGUGAUACUGCACGGCUUGAGGAUGGGAGAGGUGCGCGGAAUUGCCGGUGUAGUAGUAAAAUGCGUUAAUAUCGGCAAGAACACCAAAGGCGAAGGCAGCGCACUGGAACAUUCCUGACACUCAUGGACGAAAGCGUGGGGAGCGAAUGAGAUUAGAUACCUCAGUAGUCCACGCCCUAAACGAUGAGUGCUAGAUAUGGGGAGUAUCGACCCUCUCCGUGUCGUCGAAAUAAGCUAACGCGUUAAGCACUCCGCCUGGGGAGUACGGCCGCAAGGCUAAAACUCAAAGGAAUAGACGGGGACCCGCACAAGCGGUGGAGCAUGUGGUUCAAUUCGACGAUAAGCGAGGAACCUUACCAAGGUUUGACAUGCAGCUGCACGUCCCUGGAAACAGGGAUUCCUUCGAGGGUGCUGCACAGGUGCUGCAUGGUUGUCGUCAGCUCGUGCCGUGAGGUGUUCCGUUCAGUCGGGAAACGAGCGCAA
Molecule: ribosomal RNA, 1031 nt
Filed under: uncultured bacterium
Lineage: Bacteria
Description: bacterial SSU rRNA
Rfam family: Bacterial small subunit ribosomal RNA
Source: RNAcentral